UAAGGUUCUCCAGAGGUGCUGUUGUUUCUUG
RNAcentral lists this non-coding RNA (31 nucleotides) under Mus musculus (house mouse). Lineage: Eukaryota; Metazoa; Chordata; Mammalia; Rodentia; Muridae. The record is from RNAcentral.